AAUAUUAGAACUGAGAGAGAUUAUGUAAAGGUACAAAUUUUCAAUGAUGAAUGUCAUUAUAUUGUAUACCUAAAAUGUACCAAUAAAAUUAAUAAUAAAGGAGAUCCAGCUAGGGGCUGAAUACAAGAUAAACUUAUAAAAUCAAUAAUAUGUACUGACACUACUAAUAAUUACUAGAAAAUGCAAUAGGAGAUAAGCUCUGAUCUUGAUGAAGGCACAUGGUAAGAAAAUCAUGCUAUCAGAUAACAAAAAAUAAUUUGUUUAGAAAUCAUAGAAAAAUGAAAAGACAGUGUCAAACUAGAUUUGUCUGAUCAAGGAAUAUGUACACGUGGAUAAGUGAAAAGUACUUAUUUAAUGACACAGAAGAUGUUGGCCUUGACAAGAGCCAUGAAGGGUUACAUAGGAGGUAGACUUCUAAUUAGUAGAUGGAUUGUGGGUAAAUGGGAAAUGAGGAAAUGGAAACAGUGUUCACAGCCCUUCUGAAACAAGGUAGAGAAGGGGAAAGAGCAGAGUUGGAGUAGGAGAAGAAGGGGCAGAAUUGAGUAAUGAUUUCUGACUUGAUAUAGGUCAAACAGAUGAAGGCUUCAAAUCAAACUGGAGAAAACUAUUCCUACCUUUGUGGAAUUUUGAGAAAUUGCAAAAAUUAUCCAGGUAACUAUUAAAAAAGAUGCCAAGAUCAGCAGUGCUUUUUGAAGCUUCGUAUUUGAGAACAUGAUGAGUGCCCUACAAAAGAAAACAAGCAAAGAAAUAAUGUGAGAAGUGAGUCCCUCUGUACUUAUUGUUUCAUUCUGAACCUGUAAUAUGUCUCUGAGACUUUUUUCCUCCUGAAUUACUCUACACAAAAGGAAAGAAGGGAUUCAGCAGUGUUACUGCACGAGAAAGGGGAAAGAGAGGAAAAGAUGGUGAGAGAGAGAGAGAGACUGGGAGAAGCAGAGUCCUGAAGAAAGGCUUAUUUGGGGUACAUCAGUCCAAAGUCAUGGCUAGAGGCAGAGGAUGGUAGAGCUUCCAAGAUUCCUGGCUUCCUAGAUGAUCUCAAGAGGCCAAAACUAACUGGACUUAUGUGUAAGAGAAAUGCACACCGAUCUUGUUCUUCGUUUGAAUCAUCACACUUGGAGUAUUUCUCCCUCUCACAGUCAUUUUUCCUGUUUAUAACCACAUAGACUCGACCAGAGGCCGAAGACGGGAUCUGACAAGAUGGCCGGGCUGCCCCACAGGAUCAUCAAGGAAACUCAGCGUUUGCUGGCAGAACCAGUUCCUGGCAUUAAAGCGGAACCAGAUGAGAGCAACG
RNA transcript from Heterocephalus glaber (naked mole-rat), 1288 nucleotides. It is a transcript of the gene named ubiquitin-conjugating enzyme E2 N pseudogene, with no coding region annotated. NCBI's taxonomy places the organism in Eukaryota, Metazoa, Chordata, Mammalia, Rodentia, Bathyergidae. The record is from RefSeq and is a predicted model, not a curated record.